This is a non-coding RNA of Equus caballus (horse), 3905 nucleotides long. NCBI's taxonomy places the organism in Eukaryota, Metazoa, Chordata, Mammalia, Perissodactyla, Equidae. The record is from RefSeq and is a predicted model, not a curated record.
GUAAGAUAUAUGCAAAUUUUGUACAUGUUGGAUAUAAUUUGAUUUGUAUUUUCAUCCUUCAUGUAAUUACAGUCAAUUGAACACAAAUUUUACUUGAAGGCAAGGACAUUAAUUUUGUGAAAUGAAUACAUGAGUUCUGAAUUAUGUAGGUUUUUGUUUUGUUACUCAUCUAAGCAUCACUGGCCAUCAGCAGAUGGCCCCGACCUGAGCAAUAAUAAUGAAAUUGAAUCUUUUGCUAUUUUGCUUUCAGUCAUAUAAAAACCAUAUGUUUACAUCUAGUUUAAUUUUGUUGUUAUGAAGGAAUAUUUGUCAAAUAGCAACAAAUUUGUUAAAGAGAAAAAAUAUUUUAUUAAGAGCCUGUGAGCUUGACUGAAAACUUUGAAGUGUUUGUACCUAAGGGAUCAGCGCCUUGUGUGUGCUCUUGCUUCAGGCCCUGCGGAAGUCAGAGCCCGCUGUGACCACAGCUUUCCUUCCCUUGUGGUCCCCAAAGGCCAUGCAGCGCUUGGGUCUGGCCAGUCGUCAGCUCUCGCCACUGCCACAUUGACUGGCUGGCCGGCAGCAUUCAGUCAAUGUCGGUUCAAUGCUCCUUGCAUCGUAAGUCAGUGCUCCGCUCUCUCUCUAAAUCUCAGGUCCCUCAUUCGUAGGAGACGGCUUCAGUAGCAACGGGGGAAAUGUCACAGUGCCUUUCAUCCCAUCCUUUCCUCUUUUAAAUCAGCAAGAUGAAAAAAAUGGGUUCCAGUAAAGUGCUUUGUGACUUUAUUAUUAGUCUAUUUGAAGCCCUCUCUGUUUUCUUCCUCUUCCUCGCCCCCUCUUCCCCUCCUGUGCUCUUCUGCCUCCUCUUUUUCUUCUUCCUGUUCUGUUUCCUCCUCCUCUCCUUCCUCCUUCAUUUUAGCGAGGAAAGACUUCUCUCGGUAACCAUACUAGCAUGUCUUUCACUUUCUCAACGCCCUUGUCUCUCUUCAGCAAUGCCUGUUUUGCUCAAACCUGAAGCGUCAAAAUUUUUUUGAAUCUGACUUUCUGCCAGAAUUCUUUAAGUAGAUCAACUCCUUUUAUUCUCUAACAUUUUAAAACUCAUUUGCACAGAAGAGAAUUGGAAGGUCUUAAAGUACAGUUGUCCCGUGGUUCCUCACAACCUACUAAGAGUGUUGUUCCAGUUGACAGCGUUUUAAAUCCAGUAAUGAGAGAAGUUCGUCCUUUCAUAUAAAUAUCAUAGGGAUGAAUAAAGAGUCUGGAAGUACUAUUAUUGCAAUUUCUACUGGAUAUUUAGGUAAGAAUCUUGUCUCAAUAUGUUGCCCUUUGAUAAUUUUCUAUCUACUUGGCUUGUUCAGCAAGUGGAGAGCAAGUGGGUUUCCCAUAUCAUUCUGGGACAAGCUACCCCUCAUUUGUUGCUGUCAUACUCACCCCACGUUUCCACAAAUUACUCUGUGUUAGGCAAGAUGAUUUCCAAGAUAGGUAGUCUAGACUAUAAUUAAAACUAAUAUUUUUUUCACUCUAUAAAUUUAGCAGUUUAUUUCUUGAAACUAUCCUAUUUCUCUUCAACAUGGCUCUAGGGAAAUAAGCCACAAGUGCCACAUUUUUCUCUGUGGUUUUCUCAGGCAUCGUGGCCAUCCUCAUACGCAGUAUUGUGGUUUACAACAGUUCCAGACCCAGGCUGGGUGAUGGUGGUGGGUAUCAGAAAGUCUUCAUGGCCGUAAACCCAUUUAAGUAAAUUAAUAAAAUUUAUUUGAUAAGAAGUGAAACGUCUUAAAAAUUACCAGGGCCAAACUACCAAAGUCCCAGCCUAUUCUUAUGUCUAAUUUGAUGGAACAAUCUAGAAUCUGAAAAGCACUGGGUGCUUUCUUGACAGCUUACCUCUGCCGUGAGUUGGAAGUAACCUAAGAUGGGUUCCACAAUGAGGACUUUAAAGUGUCUGUAGGGAAAUGUGGAGUUAAGUAGGUGCAGAGUUGCAACAUUCUUCCAGACUGUUUUAUUUAUAUUUUUAAGCACUUACCACAGACAUAUAGUUAGCAAUGUAUAUCUUUGUCCCUCCCAUUAGUUUGCAAAUCCCUAUUGUUCACUGUUGUGUCACAAAGCCAGGGUCCUGAGAAGGUAUUUGGGGAAUGAAAGGUCUGGGACUGCCCCAUGAUGUCCUCUUGCUCCCAGUUCUGCCCGUACGAUUGCUCAGUACUCUUAGGCUGUAACCCAUUUUUCUUUGGACAAUGAUCACAUUUUGUUGUCUUAGGAGGUGUGGCAAAGAUUCUCUCACGUGCUUAUUUAACAGACCCUAAAGGCCUGGAGACUCCCAGCUGUGUGAGUUUUGAUUAUGCAGAGCACAUCUUGUAACUUUUAAGGCACUUGGCUUUCAGCAAACCUGGGUACCGCCCCUCUCCUCCUUUGGGACGAUAAAAAUAAUAAUGAUAACCACAAUGAAACUUACCGAUGCUUGCACUACAUGCCAGACAUUGGGUUAAGUGUAUCAUAUGCAUUAUCAUAUUUAUUCCUUCCAACAAUACCGUGAGAUCCCUAUCAUUCCUAUCUCCAUUUUACAGAUGAGGAAACUGAGGUGCUGAAAGGCUAAAUAGCUUAUUUGAGGUCUCCCAGCUACAGAGAGGUGGAGAGAGAAUAAGACAGCCCGUCUGCCUCCUCUUAGUCUUUUCACUCUCCAGGGGUAAAUAUAUUAGAUCAUCCAUUAUGAAGCAAUUGAGGAGAUCAAGAAAUACUCCAAGGCAGAUUUUGUUGCCUUUUGAGUCCUUAAUCAUUCUUUCAAACUUUCCAGUUGGCAUGGCUCUCUGCUCAUAAAAAGAUGUUUCAUUUACUGAAACGUGACUCCAGAAGUCUUAUGAAUGCAGCCAGCACAUAGUGGGUAAGAAGGAGUUAAAGAGCCGACAGGCCUUCCUGUGUGGGUCCAGCCAGCAGCCGUUCGUCACAGAUGCGGGGGACUUUGAUCCUGACAGCUUCCCUUUCACUCAGGGGCGGCAGGGAGGUUUGACCUGGGGAAGCAGGAAAGACGAGAGAGAAAAAGGUCUUGUUUGUUUCCUGGGUGGAUUGCCUCCUCUUGGCAUGCCUCCAGGAAGCGAGUCUUUUCCUGCCCUGAAACUUCAGGGAAAUAAAUCUCUCUCCUGUAGAACAAACCUGAGAGAGGCCCCAGGGCAGCUGCCUUAGAGCUGUCAGGUCCAGGGACUUGGCCUCAGGCUGGCCAGUGUGCAGCCUGGCAGGUUGCAGCCCCUGGCUGGGGCUGGAGGUGGGGGGAUGUCCACAUGACCCAGAGAAGGGAAGAGGGAUGCUAGCGAGGUCUUUGAUCCCAAGGGCCAGAAGCCAGUGUGGGCACCCAUGGGGAUAGAGGUGUUCUGAGACUGAUCCUCUGCGGAAUGACACCUAGGAGAAGGGGCAAUUUUGAGAGCGUUUCUAGAGGGCAGCCUGGGGGCCAAGCGUGAGGGAGACCGAGCCCAGCACUGCAGAGGCUAACACAAGACUCUCGCAUGCAGAACCGGAGAGAGGAACAGGAAGUGUAGUGGAUGCAAGCCCAUGAGAACCAGCCCCAGCAUUAAGAGCAAGAGCAAGCGCAGGGAGAGCUGGGGGGCGGGGGGAGUGAUGUCCUUCCAAUUGACAUAUGUCAUUUCUUGCAGCCUGGGAUCCUUGACUGUGAUUUUUGUAACUGUGUCCUGGUUCCUGUCUGUAGAAUUUAACCCAUGCGGUUUGAACAAGGUGAUCCACCUCCCAGCUCUGGUCGACGCAGGCUGAAAAAAGGAAACUUAAAGAGUGUCUGCUAUGGUAAUUCACUGCUGCGAUCCCUCAGGGUUCUGGAAUUGUCUGCUUCCUGAAGAGUUUGCUGCUCACGGACUCCAACGUCCAGAUGCCUGAGGGGACUUUCUCGAGGCUACAGAUGUACUCUCAGCGCCUGCCCUGGAAAAGGCACAACUGCACGU